RNAcentral lists this transfer RNA (72 nucleotides) under Polyangiaceae bacterium LLY-WYZ-15_(1-7). Its description in RNAcentral is "tRNA-Asp". The record is from RNAcentral. Lineage: Bacteria; Pseudomonadati; Myxococcota; Polyangiales; Polyangiaceae.
GGCGCGUUGUGCAUCUGGGUAUGCAGCCCCGUUGUCUCCGGGGUGAGACGGGUUCGAUUCCCGUACGCGUCG